CCUACGGGAGGCAGCAGUGGGGAAUUUUGGACAAUGGGGGCAACCCUGAUCCAGCCAUUCCGCGUGAGUGAAGAAGGCCUUCGGGUUGUAAAGCUCUUUCAGCUGGAACGAAACGGUACGCGCUAACAUCGUGUGCUAAUGACGGUACCGGCAGAAAAAGCACCGGCUAACUACGUGCCAGCAGCCGCGGUAAUACGUAGGGUGCGAGCGUUAAUCGGAAUUACUGGGCGUAAAGCGUGCGCACGCGGAUUGUUAAGCAAGACAUGAAAUCCCCGGGCUUAACCUGUGAAUGGCGUUUUGAACU
RNAcentral lists this ribosomal RNA (304 nucleotides) under uncultured bacterium. Its description in RNAcentral is "bacterial SSU rRNA". It matches the Rfam family "Bacterial small subunit ribosomal RNA", at positions 338 to 634 of the family's 1533-position model. The record is from RNAcentral.